This 118-nucleotide small nucleolar RNA is filed under the name Echinops telfairi (small Madagascar hedgehog). Its description in RNAcentral is "Small nucleolar RNA SNORA61 (ENSETEG00000026260.1)". The record is from RNAcentral. Lineage: Eukaryota; Metazoa; Chordata; Mammalia; Afrosoricida; Tenrecidae.
GCCUUCCAAACCCCUUGCCUAUCAGCUCUAACACUGGUCUGAUGGUUACAGAAGGAAGAAAAGUACAUUUGAAGCAGCCUUCAAUUCUUGUGUGACACACAAGCUAAUUCAAACAAAA